UAUUCAUAACCAACAAUCAAAUUACAUACUUUUGAAAAGAAAAUACAAAGUUUGAACCUCUAGUUUAGAUGGGGAACAGUAAAGAGGGAAAUGGGCAUAUAUUGCCAUAUUUCCUUCUCCUCUGUCUCCAUCCAAACCGAUACAAUCAUAAGAAAGACAUUCACACAAUCGAAACAUAAAAACAAACCUUUUUCUUUUAGACAUGAAACAUAUAUAAAACAUCACACACUUUUCACUUUCUGAAUCCGAAACAUAAAACAACCCUAGGACUAGAUUCAGAAAUUGAAACCACUACCAUCACCAAACAAAUUAUUAGUGAUUGCAGCCCUGAACACACCCAUGGCCAGCGCUUGAAUCCCAGCCGCCAAAUUAUUAGCUUUUUCACUUAUCACAAUUUAAAAUUUUUUUUAAAAAGGAACAUUUUAGUUUGGAAAGUAGAUAGAUAGGAAUGCUAGAACCUGAAACAUGUUGUAUAUUUGAUAUCUUGAACAUGAUAUAUAUUUUUUUCUGAUAUAUAUGCCCAGCUUUUGUGAAACAAAGAGUUGAAAAACUCAUUAGGAUAGUGAAACUGAUCUGUAUCUCUUUGAAUUUGGCAUUGGUGCGGGGAUGUGAUGCUUCUGUUCUGUUAGGUUUGCUGAAGGAAUUGAUUCCAAUAAACUGUCUCAUUCUAAUAGUCCACACUAAGGUUUUUAAUCUAUCUCUUCCUUUGUCUUUUCUUAGUUUAAGUCCCUGGUUGUGUUAUUAUAAAAUUAUGAGUUCUGUUUGUUCAAUUUGUUCAUUCAAUAUUCUUUUUUCAUGAUUAGGCUAGACUAGUGAUGGAUUUUUAAGAAAAUGCUCUUGAUUCAAUUGGUGACAAUGAUAAAAGUGAAAAUCAUGAGAAUUUAAUUUUGGACGAAUACUUAGAAAUUAAACUUGGACUUCAAGUGAGUUCCAAGCAUAUAAUCUUUAUAAUAAAUAUGCUUUAAACAAGGGGUUUAGCAUUUGAAAAGGACUUACACGAAAUGCUGCUGGUGUUAUUGCUUAUUAGGCAAUGAGAAUUUAUGUUCAAAACAAGGUUAUAAAGAGUUUGAAGACUCUUUUGACUCUAAAAAGUAUAAUAAAUUAGAUGCAAAAGUAUAAUAACUUUGCUUGUUAAGUUUAUUUGUUACUAUUUCCUCUCUUUUUUUAAGGAUAUGUUCAAUCAUCAUUCAUUUCCUUGGAGAUGUCUAUUGCUUAUCUCAUAUUUAACUCUACAAGAAUGCAUCAAUAAAUUCAAGUGAAAAAAAGCAACUACUUCACAAGCUCCUCAAGCUAGUUCUAUGAGACAUGGUAUGUCAAUACUACUAUUUUAAUCAUUCUAUUUCUUAGCUUUAACCACUCUUUCCUCUUUUUCUUAGGAGAUGUUCAAUCAUCAUUCUUUCCCUUGGAGAUUUCUAUUGCUUAUCUAGUUAUCCCAUGUUUGGUUAUACAAGAAUGCUUCAAGAAAGUACCUUAAUGUCACCCUUGAGCUAGGACCCUACAACAAGUUGGUGAAGUAUGAUGGAGAACUUUUUUGGACAAUUUUUUGAUAGCAAACUACACAGUCGUAUCCACAACUAGCGGACAAGAUUUUUGGACGUGUUUGACUUGAGUCUUCUUUUAGAUAGGAUGUCUAACAAUUUGAACAAUUGAUAACACAACUUGUAUCCAUUCUUUUGGAUACUAUUUGUAACUAAUGAAGCUACACAACAUGUUAGAUUCAAUAUUUGUAUUUUUAGUGGUAAAAUUCAUUAGUGCAACUUGUAUCAGUUCUUUUGGAUACUAUUUGUAACUAAUGAAGCUACACAAACAUGUCAGAUUCAAUAUUUG
Quercus lobata is the source of this 1827-nucleotide long non-coding RNA. RefSeq lists it as uncharacterized. NCBI's taxonomy places the organism in Eukaryota, Viridiplantae, Streptophyta, Magnoliopsida, Fagales, Fagaceae. The transcript has 2 exons. The record is from RefSeq and is a predicted model, not a curated record.